AAAAAGCGUAAUAGCUCACUAGUCGAGUCGUCCUGCGCGGAAGAUGUAACGGGGCUCAAACUGUGCACCGAAGCUGCGGAUAUCGAAAGAUAUGGUAGGGGAGCGUUCUGUAGGUCUGUGAAGGUGUCUUGUAAAGGAUGCUGGAGAUAUCAGAAGUGCGAAUGCUGACAUGAGUAGCGAUAAAGGGCGUGAAAAGCGCCCUCGCCGAAAGCCCAAGGUUUCCUACGCAACGUUCAUCGGCGUAGGGUGAGUCGGCUCCUAAGGCGAGGCAGAAAUGCGUAGUCGAUGGGAAACAGGUCAAUAUUCCUGUACCGAUUCUAGAUGCGAUGUGGGGACGGAGAAGGUUAGGUCAGCCGGGUGUUGGACGUCCCGGUUUAAGCGUGUAGGCGUGCCCCUUAGGCAAAUCCGGGGGGCUAAGCUGAGGCGUGAUGACGAGGAACCACGGUUCCGAAGUGAUUGAUACCAAGCUUCCAGGAAAAGCCACCAAGCUUCAGUCUAGAGUUGACCGUACCGCAAACCGACACAGGUGGGCAGGAUGAAAAUUCUAAGGCGCUUGAGAGAACUCAGGAGAAGGAACUCGGCAAAUUAACACCGUAACUUCGGGAGAAGGUGUGCCCCGGUAGCGUGUAGAGACUUGCUCUCGAAGCGCGAUGGGGUUGCAGUGAAAUGGUGGCUGCGACUGUUUAAUAAAAACACAGCACUCUGCAAACACGAAAGUGGAUGUAUAGGGUGUGACGCCUGCCCGGUGCCGGAAGGUUAAGUGAUGGGGUGCAAGCUCUUGAUCGAAGCCCCGGAAAACGGCGGCCGUAACAAUAACGGUCCUAAGGUAGCGAAAUUCCUUGUCGGGUAAGUUCCGACCUGCACGAAUGGCGUAACGAUGGCCACACUGUCUCCUCCUGGGACUCAGCGAAGUUGAAAUGUUUGUGAAGAUGCAAUCUACCCGCGGCUAGACGGAAAGACCCCAUGAACCUUUACUGUAGCUUUGCAUUGGACUUUGAACCGGUUUGUGUAGGAUAGGCGGGAGACUGUGAAGCCGGGACGCUAGUUUCGGUGGAGUCAACCUUGAAAUACCACCCUGAUUUGUUUGAGGUUCUAACCUUGGUCCGUGAAUCCGGAUCGGGGACCGUGCAUGGUAGGCAGUUUGACUGGGGCGGUCUCCUCCCAAAAGGUAACGGAGGAGUACGAAGGUACGCUUAGGGCGGUCGGACAUCGCCCACAAAGUGCAAUGGCAAAAGCGUGCUUGACUGCGAGACCCACAAGUCGAGCAGGUACGAAAGUAGGUCAUAGUGAUCCGGUGGUUCUGUAUGGGAGGGCCAUCGCUCAACGGAUAAAAGGUACUCUGGGGAUAACAGGCUAAUUCCUCCCAAGAGUUCAUAUCGACGGGGGAGUUUGGCACCUCGAUGUCGGCUCAUCACAUCCUGGGGCUGUAGUCGGUCCCAAGGGUAUGGCUGUUCGCCAUUUAAAGUGGUACGCGAGCUGGGUUUAAAACGUCGUGAGACAGUUUGGUCCCUAUCUGCCGUGGGCGCUGGAAAUUUGAAGGGGGCUGCUCCUAGUACGAGAGGACCGGAGUGGACGAACCUCUGGUGUACCGGUUAUGACGCCAGUCGUAUCGCCGGGUAGCUAAGUUCGGAAGAGAUAAACGCUGAAAGCAUCUAAGCGUGAAACUCGCCUUAAGAUAAGAUUUCCCGGAGUCUUGAACUCCCUGAAGGGUCGUCGAAGACCACGACGUUGAUAGGUCAGGUGUGGAAGCGCAGCAAUGCGUUAAGCUAACUGAUACUAAUUGCCCGUGUGGCUUGAUCC
RNAcentral lists this ribosomal RNA (1800 nucleotides) under metagenome. RNAcentral's name for it is "bacterial LSU rRNA". It matches the Rfam family "Bacterial large subunit ribosomal RNA", at positions 1127 to 2925 of the family's 2925-position model. The record is from RNAcentral.